GAUGAACGCUGGCGGCGUGCCUAAUACAUGCCAGUCGAGCGAACGGACGCGUCGCUUGCUUUUCUGAUGUUAGCGGCGGACAGGUGAGUAACAAGUGGCUAACCUACCUAUAAGACUGGGAAAACUUCGGGAAAAAGGAGCGAAUACCGGCUGAUAUUUUGAACCGCAUGGUUCAAAAGUGAAAGGCGGUCUUGCUGUCACGUAUAGAUGGAUCCGCGCUGCAUUAGCUAGUUGGUACGGUAACGGCUUACCAAGGCAACUAUGGAUAGCCGACCGGAGCGAGGGAUCGGCCACACGGGAGCGUAGACACGCACCAUACGCCUGCGGGAGGCAGCAGUAGGGAAUCUGCCGCAAUGGUCGAAAGCCUUGCGGAGCAACGGCGCGUGAGUGAUGAAGGUCUUCGGAUCGUAAAGCCCGGUUAUUAGGUAUGAACAUAUGUGUACGUAGCUGUGCACAUCUUGACGGUACCUAAUCAGAAAGCCACGGCUAACUACGUG
This 497-nucleotide ribosomal RNA is filed under the name uncultured bacterium. Its description in RNAcentral is "partial 16S ribosomal RNA". It matches the Rfam family "Bacterial small subunit ribosomal RNA", at positions 28 to 507 of the family's 1533-position model. The record is from RNAcentral.